Molecule: long non-coding RNA, 2797 nt
Filed under: Prunus persica (peach)
Lineage: Eukaryota; Viridiplantae; Streptophyta; Magnoliopsida; Rosales; Rosaceae
Description: long non-coding RNA (PPER_LNC008033)
Source: RNAcentral
UAAGCCCAUUAUUCCAUAAUUUGUGGACUUGAGACUUUGCACAAAUUAUUCACCGCUUGGUCUUGAGAUGUGAGACAAGCCCCAUGGGUAUGAGACAUUUGCUUUCACUUGAUAGCCCAAUAUUUUACUAGGCAUAACUUAGGCUUUACGUUGACCUCCGGACUUGUUGCGUGGUCUUUGUCACUUUGUGCAACAAACCCAUGAAGCCCACUUUAACUGAUUUGGCAGUCCUUGAUUGACUCAACUUUGAAUUUGAGCGGAACUACACUAUUGUAGACGGACUUAAGAUGGAGACCCUUCCAGGAGUGAAGUCUUGUGUUUUGGCUUUCUCGAACUUGCUUAAGUAUGUGGGCCUGUGAAACUUUGAGACAUACCGUAUCACAAAAGGAAAGCACCGUGCUGCUUCUUUCCUUUUGAUAUUUCAUGUGGUGGAUUAAUCACCGCAAGAGCUUUCUCUCCAAUUUUUAUUUGCCUUGGCAAAGCAAAUAUGAGUUAGUUAAUUGGUAGAACCGGACCUACAUCACAUCUUUUUAGCUUUCUAGAUGCUAACAACAGCAAUUGGAAUAAAUUGACCCCCUGAGCCUUGUAUUUGGGAAUUCUUGAAUGGCAUAUUAGGUGGUGUGUUUAAACUAUUUUGUAAAUAGCUGUUCACCAAUCAUAUUACUUGCUUUGUCAUUUGAGUUGGCUUUCAGAGCUGCCCGCACAUACUAGAGAAGGCUUAAUCAUCCAUUAUUCCUCCUGGCCUCAUGUAAGUGACUUAGUGGAGCAAAUAUGAAUUUAGCAAUCCCAAAACUUGUAGCAAAGUGGCAGACUUCACACCCCCUUUGUUUUAAUUGCUUUAGCAACAUCAGUGGUUCGAACAAGUUGGUUUGAUCAAGACACCCAAGGGAUAGGAAUCCUUCUCCAAGUGAAGUAUGGAUUAAACUCCUUAUUGAUUUGGAACUGGUGGAUCAUCCAGUGAAGUAAACUUCUUGUCCACAUAGGAUUGGGUUGUCUUCCUUAUAAAAAGGAAAACAUGUGUGCACCAGCAAACAGCCACAAGACGAAAGUCUUAACAUUAUUCUUCGUUUGCUUCUCCAGACCAGCACAUAGCUUUGCUCAAGCCACCUGUUGCACCAUCAAACAGAAGAGGAUUUCACGUGGUAACCCACAUGCCAUUCCUUAGUUCUUCUCUUUUAUUUUAUUUAUUGAUUGAACUAACUGGGAUUUUUUUGGCAUGGGCAGCAAUAGCAGUAGCAAUUGAAGAGCCUCCAAUUAAUUGGAUGCUUCCGGGCUGACUGGGAACCAAAAGAGACAACUUCUCUUAUUGUCCUUUGUGUGCUGUAACCUUCCCAAGGUCAAUAACCCAAGACAAAGGGAAAGAGAAAUCAUCUUGCCUUUCACGUGGUAACCCACCCCUUGAACUCCUUCUUUUUCCUUUGAUUUUUUUCUUUUGUCUGUUUCCAUGUUUCUGACCUCUUGUCUUCUCUUCUGUAUGUAGAGGUUGUGCUGCCAGCUUGAAGGCUUUGGAGUUUGGUGGAGGAAACCAUCUGUCAUUUUGCUUCAGAAACCCAAGAAAGAACUUGUGGUACUUGCUUUGCCAGCUCCUCUUUUUUUGUUUGCUAUUGCUGUACUUUUACCAUUGCUCAUAUCCAUUUCUUUUACUCAAUUUCCAGUCAUAAUAAACCAAAGAAAUAUUCAAGAAGGGGAGGAGGGGCUGUGCGAUACAGCCCCCCUUUUUUUAUUCCAUUAACAUUUUUUUUGUGUUGGCCCUUGUUUUGUCUUCUUGCACAAGAAACAAAACCAGCCACCAUAUUUCUUUUACUUCUUUACUCCUGUUCUUAGUCAAAACAGAUCAAAAGAGGAUGGCUGUGCGAACAGCCCCCCUUUUGUUUUAUUUUUAUCUCUUCUUUGUUUCAUCUCUGUAAACAAAACACAACAACGAAACCACAAUUUUUCCUUUUGCUCCACCAUCUCUUCCUCCGCUGGCUCUCUUCCUUUUUUUUUGUUGGCUUGCUGGCAGCACACACUCAUGGGGAAGCAAUUCAAUUGCCAUGAGGCCCUUUUGGUUUUAGAUGCUUCAUACUGAGGUUUUACGCAGAGACUUGUAAUCACAAGCUUUCGUUCUUUGAUUUUGAUUCCAUGGUGCGUUCAUCUCUACAUCCAUGAUUUGAGGGAUCCUUUGCUCCUGGAAGCGCUUAUUCGACGUUGCCUAUUGGAAUAGACUAUGCCAUGAAAUCUGAUGAUUGAAAUCAUCAUGGAAGGCAAUCCUCCCCUGUUGGUUGUGGACCAGAUGUUUGAAAACAUCGCUGGAGUUAUUUGAGCGUAGGCAAGCCUUGGAGAGAUUCUUAACUUUGUUUAUGAUGAUUGAAAUCAUCAUAGCCAAGAACCCUUGAGUUGAAUGAAACCUAAAGUCUUGAGCAAAAAACCAGAAAAUUGUGUCAUAAAACUGAUAUUUUUACCUUGAAAUGGCUCUUCCCUUUCUGAAGUAUGCUUGCUAAUUUUUCCUUCCUGCGGCUGUUCUCCUUUCUCCUCCUUUUCUUUCCUGCAGCUAUUCUCCUCUCUCUGCGUUUUUUUUUUUUUGUCCUCCUCUGUUCUCCUUUUUUUUUUUCUCAUGUCAUGCCUCUUAUAGAGGCUAUCUUAUGAUGAGUUUGAAUUCAAGCUGAUGACCACUUUUCAACCGAGAUACUUAUCUCUUGGUGUUUCAAAACCACUGAAAUACAUCUAUUUUAUUUUUAAAUGUUUUUCUUGAUAAGAUUGCAGGGACAAAACAAAUUCAAUUCUAACCCAAGUCAAACUCUUGGCUAAUUGCUUUUGU